UACGUAGGGGGCGAGCGUUGUCCGGAAUCAUUGGGCGUAAAGGGCGCGUAGGCGGGAAUACAAGUCUGUUUUUAAAGUUCAGGGCUCAACCCUGUGAUGGAAUGGAAACUGUAUUUCUUGAGGGCAGGAGAGGAAAGUGGAAUUCCUAGUGUAGCGGUGAAAUGCGUAGAUAUUAGGAGGAACACCAGUGGCGAAGGCGGCUUUCUGGACUGCAACUGACGCUGAGGCGCGAAAGCUAGGGGAGCGAACA
RNAcentral lists this ribosomal RNA (250 nucleotides) under uncultured bacterium. RNAcentral describes it as "partial 16S ribosomal RNA". It matches the Rfam family "Bacterial small subunit ribosomal RNA", at positions 524 to 774 of the family's 1533-position model. The record is from RNAcentral.